Molecule: long non-coding RNA, 969 nt
Organism: Sorghum bicolor (sorghum)
Lineage: Eukaryota; Viridiplantae; Streptophyta; Magnoliopsida; Poales; Poaceae
Exons: 2
Source: RefSeq, a predicted model, not a curated record
GGGUGAAACUCGCAUUGAGACCAAAUCGUUUCAUCGUCCAGAUCCCAUGCGCACACCUCUGCCGCGCGCGAAACUUCGCCUUCUUCCCGCGCCGCGCGGAAUCCUCCGGCUCCUCAUCCUUCUUCCCACCCCCUUCGGUAUCCCCUUCCUUGCAUGCCACUAUUUGCCGCAGCCGCCGACAGUGCAUCGUCUUGCCCCAUCUGCUGCACCCGGCGAGCUAGGGCACGACGCGAGAUCCACUGGCCAUGGAUCCACCGCCGGCUGAUGAUUCGCGGCGGCGCGCACCCAGCAGAGGAGGGAAAUCGCGUGGGGGCAAGCAGCUAGGACUGAAGAAGACGUCGGGGACUACUCCAUCACCGCAUCCAGGUUACUCGCCUGCUCCACCACCCGUUCCGCCGCCGCAGCUGCCGAUUUCCUCUCCUGCUGCACCAAAUCCAUCCUCUGCUAUGCCGAAUCCCACCCCUUCUGCGCCGACUUCCUCCCCUGUUGUGCCUACAUCGACCAUGCCGCCACGGCCACCGCACGGAGCAGGAUGAGGCGCCAUACCCCCAAAUUUUGCGCUUCAUGGAAACCAGCAAGGCCCUACUUCAUGAAUGAAAGCAAAACCUAUGGGGUGCAGUUUUGUCUUGUGAGAACAACAUUCAAUAGUCCAAGGUUGAAGGCUAUCUGAACUUAUGGGGUGCAGUUCUGUCUUAUGAGAACCAGUGUGCAAGGCUGAAGGCUGUCUGAACUUAUUUUUCAUCUUAGUUUACAAUCUUAGUUUCAGUUGGUUAUCUAUGUUUUCCAGUGCCUUGAACUGCUCUAUGCGAAUGUUGUAGUUGUCUAUCUGGUCCAGUACUCCAGUUGUUUGUUAGUUGAGUUGUCUUCGUAUGCAGUCCUGAUCUGUCACUUGAGUUGUCUUCGUAUGCAGUUCUGUUGUCCUGAUAUAUUUAACAAUCUGAACAAUUAUAUGGUCUUGCUAUUCCAUUU